RNAcentral lists this ribosomal RNA (253 nucleotides) under uncultured bacterium. Its description in RNAcentral is "partial 16S ribosomal RNA". It matches the Rfam family "Bacterial small subunit ribosomal RNA", at positions 524 to 776 of the family's 1533-position model. The record is from RNAcentral.
UACGUAGGGGGCUAGCGUUGUCCGGAAUCAUUGGGCGUAAAGCGCGUGUAGGCGGUCCGGUAAGUCCGCUGUGAAAGGCGGGGGCUCAACCCUCGGAUGCCGGUGGAUACUGUCGGGCUUGAGUACGGAAGAGGCGAGUGGAAUUCCUGGUGUAGCGGUGAAAUGCGCAGAUAUCAGGAGGAACACCAAUUGCGAAGGCAGCUCGCUGGGACGUUACUGACGCUGAGACGCGAAAGCGUGGGGAGCAAACAGG